AGAGUUUGAUCAUGGCUCAGAUUGAACGCUGGCGGCAUGCCUUACACAUGCAAGUCGAACGGUAACAGGUCUUCGGAUGCUGACGAGUGGCGAACGGGUGAGUAAUACAUCGGAACGUGCCCGAUCGUGGGGGAUAACGCAGCGAAAGCUGUGCUAAUACCGCAUACGAUCUACGGAUGAAAGCGGGGGAUCGCAAGACCUCGCGCGGACGGAGCGGCCGAUGGCAGAUUAGGUAGUUGGUGGGAUAAAAGCUUACCAAGCCGACGAUCUGUAGCUGGUCUGAGAGGACGACCAGCCACACUGGGACUGAGACACGGCCCAGACUCCUACGGGAGGCAGCAGUGGGGAAUUUUGGACAAUGGGGGAAACCCUGAUCCAGCCAUGCCGCGUGCAGGAUGAAGGCCUUCGGGUUGUAAACUGCUUUUGUACGGAACGAAAAGGUCCUUUCUAAUAAAGAGGGCUCAUGACGGUACCGUAAGAAUAAGCACCGGCUAACUACGUGCCAGCAGCCGCGGUAAUACGUAGGGUGCGAGCGUUAAUCGGAAUUACUGGGCGUAAAGCGUGCGCAGGCGGUUAUAUAAGACAGAUGUGAAAUCCCC
RNAcentral lists this ribosomal RNA (599 nucleotides) under uncultured Simplicispira sp. RNAcentral's name for it is "bacterial SSU rRNA". It matches the Rfam family "Bacterial small subunit ribosomal RNA", at positions 8 to 604 of the family's 1533-position model. Lineage: Bacteria; Pseudomonadati; Pseudomonadota; Betaproteobacteria; Burkholderiales; Comamonadaceae. The record is from RNAcentral.